Molecule: non-coding RNA, 148 nt
Organism: Streptococcus sp. DORA_10
Lineage: Bacteria; Bacillati; Bacillota; Bacilli; Lactobacillales; Streptococcaceae
Source: Rfam
AUUAAAUAAAGACCUCCUAAUAUUAUUUGAAACAGAUAACACUGAUUUAGUUUGAAUUUGAUUUUCAUCUAAUAUCUUUAUUUAAUAGAACUCCUAAACUUUUUCAUAAUAAUCUCCUGCAAAAGUCACCUGUCUGGGUGGCUUUUGU